This is a non-coding RNA of Ceratotherium simum simum (southern white rhinoceros), 141 nucleotides long. The record is from RefSeq and is a predicted model, not a curated record. NCBI's taxonomy places the organism in Eukaryota, Metazoa, Chordata, Mammalia, Perissodactyla, Rhinocerotidae.
UUGAGUUGGGUGGUCACAGGAUGAGCGUAGCAAUCAAAUUCUAGCCUAGGGAGAACUGCAUAUCCUUAAGGAAAUGACAAUGUAGGGGAAGUUGUGUCCUUAUCUUAAGGGCAUUUGUUCUUGCCAUGGGAAAUGUUGUAA